GAUGAACGCUGGCGGCGUGCCUAAUACAUGCAAGUCGAGCGAACAGACGAGGAGCUUGCUCCUCUGACGUUAGCGGCGGACGGGUGAGUAACACGUGGAUAACCUACCUAUAAGACUGGGAUAACUUCGGGAAACCGGAGCUAAUACCGGAUAAUAUAUUGAACCGCAUGGUUCAAUAGUGAAAGACGGUUUUGCUGUCACUUAUAGAUGGAUCCGCGCCGCAUUAGCUAGUUGGUAAGGUAACGGCUUACCAAGGCAGCGAUGCGUAGCCGACCUGAGAGGGUGAUCGGCCACACUGGAACUGAGACACGGUCCAGACUCCUACGGGAGGCAGCAGUAGGGAACCUUCCGCAAUGGGCGAAAGCCUGACGGAGCAACGCCGCGUGAGUGAUGAAGGUCUUCGGAUCGUAAAACUCUGUUAUUAGGGAAGAACAAAUGUGUAAGUAACUAUGCACGUCUUGACGGUACCUAAUCAGAAAGCCACGGCUAACUACGUG
This 497-nucleotide ribosomal RNA is filed under the name uncultured bacterium. Its description in RNAcentral is "partial 16S ribosomal RNA". It matches the Rfam family "Bacterial small subunit ribosomal RNA", at positions 28 to 507 of the family's 1533-position model. The record is from RNAcentral.